UGCGACGAUUUUAUAUUUGCUCCUAAUUAGAUUUACAGGUAAGUUGAUACUUGUACAUGUACUGUACUAUACCAUUGAUAAAAUCUGGUUGUUCAUUUAUGUUUAAGUUAAUUUUGAUUCAUAAUGUUCUGGAACUUCGUUGUACAUGAUGGACAUAUUACACACUGAAACGAGCCGAGGAGUCAAUUCUUUAAUCAACGAGGGGCAUACAUAUCGGAAGGUUAGUGUCAUGAAACAUAACAACAUAUCUUUCAAUGUACCAUUAAUCGUGUAAAGCCAGAGUCACCACGAAUUCUAUUGUCAAAAUACUGAUCGAGCAUAAACAUGUGGCAGAUGUCCGAAAGACAGAGGUUAAAGAACUACGGGUACUGUCAAGGAAAAUGUCUGGAGGUGUAUCUUGUAGGCCUUCUUUCAUCUCCCCAUAGUGAGCAGGGGACAACAGUUAUAUAAAUGUUAUGAUUGACAAUUCAUUACAUUUGUACAAAUGGCUAAUAGAAGAGGUCUAAAAUGAUAAAUGAAAAUUAACAUGACUUGGAUUGAGAGUUCUCUUAUUUGCACUCAUACCACAUCUUCUUAUAUCUAUUCACCUGUAAUUUACCUGUAAAAAAAUCGGCGCAAAUGAAAGAAAAAAUCGGCGCAAUUGAAA
Molecule: long non-coding RNA, 646 nt
Filed under: Mytilus galloprovincialis (Mediterranean mussel)
Lineage: Eukaryota; Metazoa; Mollusca; Bivalvia; Mytilida; Mytilidae
Source: RNAcentral